AACGAACGCUGGCGGCAGGCCUAACACAUGCAAGUCGAGCGCCCCGCCGGGGGAUCGGCGCACGGGUGGGUAACGCGUGGGGAUAUGCCCUUUGCUACGGAAUAGUCGCGGUGGACGGGGGGUAAUCCAGAACAGGCCUAUUGGGGGAAACGUUUAUCGGCGAAGGGUUAGCGGCCGUGGGAUUAGGUGGUUGGUGGGUUGAUGGCCUACCAAUCCGACGAUCGAUAGAUGGUGUGAGAGGAAGAGCAGCCACACUGGGUCUGGGACACGGCCGAGAAUCCUACGGGAGGGAGCAGUGGGGAAUCUUGGACAAUGGGGGCAAUCCUGAUCGAGCCCUGCUGGGUGAGCGAUGAUGGCCGGAGGGUUGUAAAGGUCUUUCAGCUGGGAAGAUAAUGACGGUACCAGAAGAAGAAGCCCCGGCUAACUACGUG
This 431-nucleotide ribosomal RNA is filed under the name uncultured bacterium. Its description in RNAcentral is "partial 16S ribosomal RNA". It matches the Rfam family "Bacterial small subunit ribosomal RNA", at positions 28 to 507 of the family's 1533-position model. The record is from RNAcentral.